CCAUGCCCAUGCCUCAUCUCAUCCACCCUAUGACCAAAUCCCAUACAAAUUCUAGGAAGCCAAGCGACUGGAACGCCCUUCAUUGCAGCAUUACAACAUUCAAGGAAGUCAAUACCUAGGGUGUUUAAAAAAUUAAGAGAUUUGGAAAGAUUGAAGAAGAGAUUGAAAUGCUUCAAUGCAAACUGAAGAACAUAGAAAAGGGUAUUGCUUUUUCUGGUAAGAAGACAAAGACUGCCAGAUCUCAAGGGAUGAAGAUUCAAAUAACUGUUGAACAUGAAAGAACAAGCUGGUUUGCUGCUUGUUGAUUUACCUCAAUGAAGAUAAAGCUCACGGUUCUUUAUAAUUAUGAAUAUAAUCAGAAUAUUAUUUCUUUUAAUUUUUCUCCAUGGGAACAUGGUCAAGGAGGUGUGUGGAAGAUACGAGUUGAAUUGCCAGAUGCUUAGCCUUACAAAUCUCCAUCAAUUGUCUUUUUCAACAAGAUCUGUCACCCAAAUAUCGAUGAAAUGAACCAAGAAAACAAA
Populus nigra (black poplar) is the source of this 521-nucleotide long non-coding RNA. RefSeq lists it as uncharacterized. The record is from RefSeq and is a predicted model, not a curated record. The transcript has 3 exons. NCBI's taxonomy places the organism in Eukaryota, Viridiplantae, Streptophyta, Magnoliopsida, Malpighiales, Salicaceae.